RNAcentral lists this long non-coding RNA (1501 nucleotides) under Daucus carota (carrot). RNAcentral describes it as "long non-coding RNA (DCAR_LNC001462)". The record is from RNAcentral. Lineage: Eukaryota; Viridiplantae; Streptophyta; Magnoliopsida; Apiales; Apiaceae.
AAAUCCAAUCUUUAUCAAAAAGAAUGGAUAAAUAGAUAAAUUGGCAUAUGGGUAUUGUAAUAGAUGAAGAAAGAAAUGAUAAAAAUAAUGAUAAAAUAAAAGGGUAGAGAGAGAAAGGGGACUGCAACUCCGAUGAGGCGGAGGUGCCUAUAUAUAUAUUGUAGUAUGUAUUCUAUGAUCUACAUUCGUCAGAGUCGAUAAAUCCGCUUCCCUCUCUCAAACAUGCUCUGUCUCGUGUAGCUUUCAUUGACCCUUUAUAAUUCAAACUAGUGAAAAAAGCCGCGCUUCGCGGCGGCUUGAUAAAUUUUGAUAUGAAUCAGUAUUAUAAUAGCAUAAAAAUUAUUUUGAAUCAUCUUCCCAUUAAACAUAUCACAAAUAAAAAAUAUUAUAAUUGGUAUAAAAAUUUGUUUAAAUGGUCAUCCUGUCAAACACAAUACUAAUAAUAAAAUUAGUUCGAACCACCCUCCCGUCAAAGACAAUAUUAAUCCAUAUUUAUUAUUUUUAUGAUAAAAUUAAAUACUAUAAUUUAGAUCAAAAUUAGUUUGAGCCGCUCUCUUAUCAAACACAAUACCAAUAACAAAACAUUAUAAUAUAGAUAUUAUUUUGAGUCGCCUUACUGUCAAACACAUACUAAUAAAAAUUAUUCUAAUUAUGAUAAAAUUAAAGAUUAUAAUUUGAUAAAAAGUAUUUUAAACUGUGGUCUCGUUUUAACAAAAAUAUAUAUUAUAACAUAGAUAAAAAACUAUUUUAGCCACUUUCCCGUCAAACAUUAUACUAAUAGAAAAAUUAUUAUUAUUUAGAUAAAAAUUAGUUUGGGCCGCCUCCCGUGCCCGUCAAACACAAUACUGAUCAACAUUAUCAUAAAAUCAAUAUAUGAUUCCUAUUUUAUAUGUAUUAUUUUANAACAUAUCAACAAAUAAUGGAUAGCUUUUUUAUAUACCGCAGAUCUUGAUGGGGGCUUCAAGCUCCAACAAAUUAGGCUGUUGGAGGAAAAUUUCUCGAGCUGCGGCGCAGAGUUGUCGGAUAUCAUUCUCAGAAAGUUGAACCUGCCUGGCAGUCCUGGCCUGCCGGAACUCCAAGAGCCUAUUGAUAAUAUCAUCAAGAACAGCAGGGUCAAUCCCCUGCUCAUUUUGGGCCAUAGAUCUUCUUCACCCAAUUAGCAGCUUAGGGUUUCAAGAAACACAAAGAAACCCUAAAAGAUGCAAACUUUUUCAAUCUCUAGCUACAAAAAUGAGUUGGGUAUUGACAAAAAUCCAAUCUUUAUCAAAAAGAAUGGAUAAAUAGAUAAAUUGGCAUAUGGGUAUUGUAAUAGAUGAAGAAAGAAAUGAUAAAAAUAAUGAUAAAAUAAAAGGGUAGAGAGAGAAAGGGGACUGCAACUCCGAUGAGGCGGAGGUGCCUAUAUAUAUAUUGUAGUAUGUAUUCUAUGAUCUACAUUCGUCAGAGUCGAUAAAUCCGCUUCCCUCUCUCAAACAUGCUCUGUCUCGUGUAGCUUUCAUUGACC